CCCGAGGCGGGGGCCUAAUACAUGCAAGUCGAGCGGGAACAGAUGGGAGCUUGCUCCCUGAUGUUAGCGGCGGACGGGUGAGUAACACGUGGGUAACCUGCCUGUAAGACUGGGAUAACUCCGGGAAACCGGGGCUAAUACCGGAUGGUUGUUUGAACCGCAUGGUUCAAACAUAAAAGGUGGCUUCGGCUACCACUUACAGAUGGACCCGCGGCGCAUUAGCUAGUUGGUGAGGUAAUGGCUCACCAAGGCAACGAUGCGUAGCCGACCUGAGAGGGUGAUCGGCCACACUGGGACUGAGACACGGCCCAGACUCCUACGGGAGGCAGCAGUAGGGAAUCUUCCGCAAUGGACGAAAGUCUGACGGAGCAACGCCGCGUGAGUGAUGAAGGUUUUCGGAUCGUAAAGCUCUGUUGUUAGGGAAGAACAAGUACCGUUCGAAUAGGGCGGUACCUUGACGGUACCUAACCAGAAAGCCACGGCUAACUACGUGCCAGCAGCCGCGGUAAUACGUAGGUGGCAAGCGUUGUCCGGAAUUAUUGGGCGUAAAGGGCUCGCAGGCGGUUUCUUAAGUCUGAUGUGAAAGCCCCCGGCUCAACCGGGGAGGGUCAUUGGAAACUGGGGAACUUGAGUGCAGAAGAGGAGAGUGGAAUUCCACGUGUAGCGGUGAAAUGCGUAGAA
Molecule: ribosomal RNA, 681 nt
Filed under: Bacillus tequilensis
Lineage: Bacteria; Bacillati; Bacillota; Bacilli; Caryophanales; Bacillaceae
Description: bacterial SSU rRNA
Rfam family: Bacterial small subunit ribosomal RNA
Source: RNAcentral